UUAGAAAUAAUGAAUAAAUCGAAUAAAGAGAUUUUUAACAGAUAUAACAACAUGGCUGAUUUUCUUGCAAGAGACCCCACAAAUACAGAAGAAGCAACAUCCCUUAAGAAGUUUUGGUCAGCAACUCUGAAUGAUAUGGCUCUUUUGGAAAGAAUGAGUCAAGAAAACAAAAUCAAAGAAGAGUGGCUUGAGGGUGUUCGCUUUCCAAUACCAGAUAUAGACUUUUCUGUAAUUGUUGCAAAUAUGGAAUGGCCAAAGCGAAUUAGAACAAUCCUCAAUGUUCAUCAAAAGAGGAUUCAAGAUGAGUAUGAUUAUUAUGAACAAGAAUUUAAGAAAAAGCGCAAUGACUUUCAAAAGCUUUUGAAUAGUUAUGAAGAUCAAAUUAAAGAGUUUGACAUGUAUGGAGAUAUUGAAAAAGCACCUAUGCUGGGAAAAGA
Molecule: non-coding RNA, 437 nt
Organism: Physcomitrium patens
Lineage: Eukaryota; Viridiplantae; Streptophyta; Bryopsida; Funariales; Funariaceae
Source: RefSeq, a predicted model, not a curated record